This 264-nucleotide ribosomal RNA is filed under the name uncultured bacterium. Its description in RNAcentral is "partial 16S ribosomal RNA". It matches the Rfam family "Bacterial small subunit ribosomal RNA", at positions 96 to 354 of the family's 1533-position model. The record is from RNAcentral.
UGGCGAACGGGUGAGUAACACGUGGGCAACCUGCCCAAAANAGGGGGAUAACACUUGGAAACAGGUGCUAAUACCGCAUAACCAUAGUUACCGCAUGGUAACUAUGUAAAAGGUGGCUAUGCUACCGCUUUUGGAUGGGCCCGCGGCGCAUUAGCUAGUUGGUGGGGUAAAGGCUUACCAAGGCAAUGAUGCGUAGCCGAACUGAGAGGUUGAUCGGCCACAUUGGGACUGAGACACGGCCCAAACUCCUACGGGAGGCAGCAG